GCUUAACGAACUAAAUACCUGUACGCCGAUUUUGUAGGAGCUUCCCGUCUAAUCCUCUUAUCCAUCUUCCACGAGUGGCAUAUUCCUCUUCCACGGCGGCGGUGACAACAAAUACAUGCAGAAGUGGCGGCGGCGGCGACUGUACCCCGCGCUUGUACUGGCCGGCUGGACGUGACUUUGUAGGAGUGAGCUGGUCAUUUCCUUUGGCAUCUCAUCCGGUGCCUAUCUGCGAUGGUGAUGGCUAAGUACUGCCAAGGUUUCAAACGAUUGUAGCACAUCUAAUGCAUCUUGACAGGUUGGAUUCUUGAGUUGGAAUGAUAAUCUCAUCAUACACGACUUCAUAUGAGGUGACUGAUUCGAUCCAACCCGGUUUUGAUAGAUGCGGCGCGUGCCAGUCAUCAUUCAACCAUCACGCGGCCUGCUGAAUGUCGACGUGACACACUCGCGGGCGACGACGCCUUCCGUCACACGGAUUACUGCAAUGCUCUGACGGACGUCGAGGACCACAAUCACAUUGAUUCGACAAUGUUCCUCUAAUUUGUGUUCGUGACACCACAUACAAUGAUACCAGAUCUAGACGCUUGGAACUAAAUUGUACAGUACUCUUUUUUGUGGAUUAUACUCCAUUUAAUUCAUGUAUCUUCUU
This is a long non-coding RNA of Triticum aestivum (bread wheat), 646 nucleotides long. RefSeq lists it as uncharacterized. The transcript is spliced from 3 exons. The record is from RefSeq and is a predicted model, not a curated record. NCBI's taxonomy places the organism in Eukaryota, Viridiplantae, Streptophyta, Magnoliopsida, Poales, Poaceae.